CACGUAGGAGGCGAGCGUUGUCCGGAAUCAUUGGGCGUAAAGAGCGCGCAGGCGGCUUGGCAAGUCGGGUGUGAAAUCCCGGGGCUCAACCCCGUGACUGCAUUCGAUACUGUCAGGCUAGAGGUAGGUAGGGGAGAUCGGAAUUCCUGGUGUAGCGGUGAAAUGCGCAGAUAUCAGGAGGAACACCGGUGGCGAAGGCGGAUCUCUGGGCCUUACCUGACGCUCAGGCGCGAAAGCUAGGGGAGCGAAC
Molecule: ribosomal RNA, 250 nt
Filed under: uncultured bacterium
Lineage: Bacteria
Description: partial 16S ribosomal RNA
Rfam family: Bacterial small subunit ribosomal RNA
Source: RNAcentral